Molecule: ribosomal RNA, 486 nt
Filed under: uncultured bacterium
Lineage: Bacteria
Description: bacterial SSU rRNA
Rfam family: Bacterial small subunit ribosomal RNA
Source: RNAcentral
GGCGUGCCUAACACAUGCAAGUCGUGCGAGAAAGCUCCUUCGGGAGUGAGUAAAGCGGCGGACGGGUGAGUAACACGUGAGCGAUCUACCCGGUGUGGGGGACAACCCAGGGAAACCUGGGCUAAUACCGCAUAUGGCGUGGGCUUGGAAGCCCGGCGUCAAAGCUGGCCUCUUCUUGAAAGCUAGCGCCAUCGGAUGAGCUCGCGGCCUAUCAGCUAGUUGGUGGGGUAAGAGCUCACCAAGGCGGAGAUCGGUAGCUGGUCUGAGAGGACGAUCAGCCACACGGGAACUGAGACACGGUCCCGACUCCUACGGGGGGCAGCAGUGAGGAAUAUUGCACAAUGGGGGCAACCCUGAUGCAGCAACGCCGCGUGAGUGAUGAAGGCUUUCGGGUCGUAAAGCUCUGUCAAGUGGGAAGAAAAUGCAAAAUGUCAAUAUCAUUUUGCACUGACGGUACCACUGAAGGAAGCACCGGCUAACUCCGUG